RNAcentral lists this ribosomal RNA (253 nucleotides) under uncultured bacterium. RNAcentral's name for it is "partial 16S ribosomal RNA". It matches the Rfam family "Bacterial small subunit ribosomal RNA", at positions 524 to 776 of the family's 1533-position model. The record is from RNAcentral.
UACGGGGGGGGCAAGCGUUGUUCGGAAUUACUGGGCGUAAAGGGCGCGUAGGCGGCCUUCUAAGUCGGACGUGAAAUCCCUCGGCUUAACCGAGGAACUGCGUCUGAUACUGGAAGGCUUGAAUCCGGGAGAGGGAUGUGGAAUUCCAGGUGUAGCGGUGAAAUGCGUAGAUAUCUGGAGGAACACCGGUGGCGAAGGCGGCGAUCUGGACGAUGACUGACGCUGAGACGCGAAAGCGUGGGGAGCAAACAGG